Molecule: ribosomal RNA, 515 nt
Filed under: uncultured bacterium
Lineage: Bacteria
Description: partial 16S ribosomal RNA
Rfam family: Bacterial small subunit ribosomal RNA
Source: RNAcentral
GAUGAACGCUGGCGGCGUGCCUAAUACAUGCAAGCCGAGCGAAUGGAUUAAGAGCUUGCUCUUAUGAAGUUAGCGGCGGACGGGUGAGUAACACGUGGGUAACCUGCCCAUAAGACUGGGAUAACUCCGGGAAACCGGGGCUAAUACCGGAUAACAUUUUGAACCGCAUGGUUCGAAAUUGAAAGGCGGCUUCGGCUGUCACUUAUGGAUGGACCCGCGUCGCAUUAGCUAGUUGGGGAGGUAACGGCUCACCAAGGCAACGAUGCGUAGCCGACCUGAGAGGGUGAUCCGCCACACUGGGACGGAGACACGGCCCAGACUCCUACGUGAGGCAGCAGUAGGGAAGCUUCCGCAAUGGACGAAAGUCUGACGGAGCAACGCCGCGUGAGUGAUGAAGGCUUUCGGGUCGUAAAACUCUGUUGUUAGGGAAGAACAAGUGCUAGUUGAAUAAGCUGGCACCUUGACGGUACCUAACCAGAAAGCCACGGCUAACUACGUGCCAGCCGCCGCCGUAA